Non-coding RNA from Schistosoma margrebowiei, 45 nucleotides. The record is from Rfam. NCBI's taxonomy places the organism in Eukaryota, Metazoa, Platyhelminthes, Trematoda, Strigeidida, Schistosomatidae.
AUCCAGCUGACGAGUCCCAAAUAAGAUGAAAGGCGAGUUCUGUAU